RNAcentral lists this ribosomal RNA (1437 nucleotides) under uncultured organism. Its description in RNAcentral is "SSU rRNA". It matches the Rfam family "Bacterial small subunit ribosomal RNA". The record is from RNAcentral.
CUUGAUGAACGCUAGCUACAGGCUUAACACAUGCAAGUCGAGGGGCAGCAUGGUCUUAGCUUGCUAAGGCCGAUGGCGACCGGCGCACGGGUGAGUAACGCGUAUCCAACCUGCCUUACACUCUUGGACAGCCUUCUGAAAGGGAGAUUAAUACAAGAUGUUAUCAUGAGUAAGCAUUUUCGCAUGAUUAAAGGUUUACCGGUGUAAGAUGGGGAUGCGUUCCAUUAGAUAGUAGGCGGGGUAACGGCCCACCUAGUCUUCGAUGGAUAGGGGUUCUGAGAGGAAGGUCCCCCACAUUGGAACUGAGACACGGUCCAAACUCCUACGGGAGGCAGCAGUGAGGAAUAUUGGUCAAUGGACGAGAGUCUGAACCAGCCAAGUAGCGUGAAGGAUGAAGGUUCUAUGGAUUGUAAACUUCUUUUAUACGGGAAUAAACGGAUCCACGUGUGGAUUUUUGCAUGUACCGUAUGAAUAAGGAUCGGCUAACUCCGUGCUAGCAGCCGCGGUAAUACGGAGGAUCCGAGCGUUAUCCGGAUUUAUUGGGUUUAAAGGGAGCGUAGAUGGGUUGUUAAGUCAGUUGUGAAAGUUUGCGGCUCAACCGUAAAAUUGCAAUUGAUACUGGCAGUCUUGAGUACAGUUGAGGUAGGCGGAAUUCGUGGUGUAGCGGUGAAAUGCUUAGAUAUCACGAAGAACUCCGAUUGCGAAGGCAGCUUACUAACCUGUAACUGACAUUGAUGCUCGAAAGUGUGGGUAUCAAACAGGAUUAGAUACCCUGGUAGUCCACACGGUAAACGAUGAAUACUCGCUGUAGGCGAUAUACAGUCUGCGGCCAAGCGAAAGCAUUAAGUAUUCCACCUGGGGAGUACGCCGGCAACGGUGAAACUCAAAGGAAUUGACGGGGGCCCGCACAAGCGGAGGAACAUGUGGUUUAAUUCGAUGAUACGCGAGGAACCUUACCCGGGCUUAAAUUGCAACCGAAUAUGGCGGAAACGCUAUAGCUAGCAAUAGCGGUUGUGAAGGUGCUGCAUGGUUGUCGUCAGCUCGUGCCGUGAGGUGUCGGCUUAAGUGCCAUAACGAGCGCAACCCUUGCCGAUAGUUACUAACAGGUCAUGCUGAGGACUCUGUCGGGACUGCCAUCGUAAGAUGUGAGGAAGGUGGGGAUGACGUCAAAUCAGCACGGCCCUUACGUCCGGGGCUACACACGUGUUACAAUGGGGGGUACAGAGGGCUGCUACCACGCAAGUGGAUGCCAAUCCCAAAAACCUCUCUCAGUUCGGAUUGAAGUCUGCAACCCGACUUCAUGAAGCUGGAUUCGCUAGUAAUCGCGCAUCAGCCACGGCGCGGUGAAUACGUUCCCGGGCCUUGUACACACCGCCCGUCAAGCCAUGGGAGCCGGGGGUACAAGAAGUGCGUAACCGCAAGGAGCGCCCUAGGGUA